GUUCACUGUUUUUGCAUGUGUUGUAUCCCUGACAUUUGAAUUCACUCAUAAGUGAUGGGGUGUAUCGACUGUAUGUUUGAUGGGUUUGCUACAUUUCCUUGUCUUCAUGCUUUUUCUCAAGUACAUUGAAAUGAAUUUGUUAUCACCAAUGAGAAUUAUGAAGGAAAUAUGCUUCUAAUGCAAGUAAGGUUUGCUUGAAUUAUGUUAUGUGUUUGACAACAUAAUAUUGGAUCCUAUUUGGUUGCUCCUCAAAACAAUUGUGGAACAUUCACCUUUUGCUUGGCAUUUCAAUUUGCAAAUUCCUUAUUUGAAUGUCCUCAUUUGGAACCCCCAAAAUUAUCUAUAAAAUUCUUUAUGCCAAGUUUGGUUUUAAGGAAUGGACGAUUGAAUGAAUGAAAUGAAAAUUAAUGUAUUUGGUAAUCAUUUUGGCGGAUAAAUGAUUUCGAUUCAUUCUUUUGUUUUUUAUUUCAUGUGGGAGGUGGUGAAAUGGAUGUAUGUGAUAAUUAUGUUAUCCUAUCACAUUAUUCACCAUUAACAAUUAAAAAUACACUUGUAAUGCUAAAAACUAGAAAAUAUGCAUCGAUAGUUUUAGUGUUGAACAAAAAUUAAAUAAAAUCGAUAAUUG
Molecule: long non-coding RNA, 625 nt
Filed under: Panax ginseng (ginseng)
Lineage: Eukaryota; Viridiplantae; Streptophyta; Magnoliopsida; Apiales; Araliaceae
Description: long non-coding RNA (PGIN_LNC015406)
Source: RNAcentral